This 433-nucleotide ribosomal RNA is filed under the name uncultured bacterium. RNAcentral's name for it is "partial 16S ribosomal RNA". It matches the Rfam family "Bacterial small subunit ribosomal RNA", at positions 29 to 507 of the family's 1533-position model. The record is from RNAcentral.
AACGAACGCUGGCGGCAUGCCUAACACAUGCGAGUCGAACGAGACCUUCGGGUCUAGUGGCGCACGGGUGCGUAACGCGUGGGAACCUGCCCUUAGGUUCGGAAUAACUCCCCGAAAGGGGUGCUAAUACCGGAUAAUGUCUUCGGACCAAAGAUUUAUCGCCUUUGGAUGGGCCCGCGUUGGAUUAGCUAGUUGGUAGGGUAAAAGCCUACCAAGGCGACGAUCCAUAGCUGGUCUGAGAGGAUGAUCAGCCACACUGGGACUGAGACACGGCCCAGACUCCUACGGGAGGCAGCAGUGGGGAAUAUUUGACAAUGGGCGAAAGCCUGAUCCAGCAAUGCCGCGUGAGUGAUGAAGGCCUUAGGGUUGUAAAGCUCUUUUACCCGGGAUGAUAAUGACAGUACCGGGAGAAUAAGCUCCGGCUAACUCCGUG